CUAUUUUCCCAAAUCAGACCUUAAACCACCAUAAAACCUACUUAGACCAACACCAUGGACGCUGGACACCAUGGAAGUUGCAGCUUCCUCUUUAUACAUUGCCACCGGAAACAUUGCCACCGAAAACCUCUACUCCGUGCCUAAACACAUCGAGGAAUGCCAAUAGGAGCAGAAUAAACAAAACCAGACAAAGGUUUUAGAUGGGUUCUUUUUAGUUUUUCAGAUUUGGGGUCGAUAAGGGAAAUUGAAGGAAGUGUUAGUGGUUAUGUGGUGGUGUAAUAGAGAAGAUUUAUUGUUUUUGGAUUUGUUUAAUGGCGGAUGGUGAUGAAAAUUUUGUGUUUUUUUCUGUCAUGGAGGGUGAAGAUGGAGAAGAUAAUUGGGGACAAUAUGAAAGAGGGAAGAUUGCAGAAAAGUUUCCGUUAAGUACUCACUUUUCUGGCCAAAAAGUUUUCGGUGAUAUUGCUUCCUUCUCUAAUUUUUUAUGCCCCUGUUUAUAAUGACUCUUGUGGGUUUGAAUUUGAAGAGGUUCAAAGGCAUGGUGGGUCUUCAACGGUGAAACAAUGGCAAAUGCGAUAUCGCCGCCGGUAGUCGGUGUAGAAAAGCUUUACAAAUUUCGCUUGCUUUUCUUUAAUCUUUACUAUUAUUGUUCUGAAUGAGUUGUCUUUUCUUCUCUAACCCUUUUUCUCAUUUUUCAAUUGCUAUCAGCUGGGUUUUUGUUUCAACUUGUUUUAUUUGUUCGUCUUUUUUCGAAUUUAUUUUCAAGAUGGAGAAGAUAAAUGGUGCAGCGCAGCGCAGAAGACGGAGAAAAUUGGAGGAGGUGGUAGGGUCCACAUUGGUUUUAGGGAAAAAAAGAUAAACCUAAUUUUCAAGAUCUUCACACGUGUAGAUGUAAGUGUAACACACAAAAUUUGUCAUGUCAGCGGAUGGUGUUUAAGAGAAUAUACUUCUACCAAGCAGAAAUGUUUGUCUGGUCAUAAGGCAAGUUAAGAUGUUCAAAUGAUCGUUGGGCACAACUUAAAGGGGCGCUUUAUGUAUUUCGCCUUUUGAAUAUCCACAAGUGAGGUCCGGAUGCAACACGAGGACUUCUCAAGGAGUCAUCCAUCACAGUAUACUCUUGCCCAAGCACGUUUAACUUUGACAUUAUGAUGAGAUCCGGUAUAGUAGUGCUAGUAUUUUUUUUAUUCAAGCCAUCACCCAGGGUAUGCUGCCCUAUGGUAGUUGGGAUGGGGGGUUGGCAUUGCCCUUACCUGUCUAUUAGAUAAUCCAAAAGAAUACACAGAGGAGGACAUAAACCUUAGCCUCUAGAGAUACAUGGAGAGUGAGUGAGUGAGAUCGAAGAUAAUUCUGUGCAUUGUCUAAGUUUUCACUAAGAGAGGAAUUCCCUAUCAUGUUAUAGAUGAAAGAGCUAGCUUUGAAAUGAAACCUAUAUGUCAAUACAACUUGAGUAGUCUUAACUAUUAUCAAAUAUGAAAUGCCCCUUCUUGGACCUUAUUCUGGAGCGAAUAAAGCCAUUUUGAUAUUCUUCAAUAAAGUUUUAGUCUCUCGUGGUGAGGCCAUGAGUGAAGAAUCUCUCCUGUUUAGUCUCCACUCCAAUAUUAGCAAACGAGCCUGUAACAGUGACCAACAUGAGUUUGCCCUUAAAUCAUCAGGUAUUUGAUUUGAUGGAUAUAAUCCCUGAGGUAUGACUGAAUCUUGUUCUCCCCUUUAAUCAUUCUGACUAGUAAUAAGGAGUUAGUUUCCACCAAAAUAUUGGUGUGCCCAUUGUUGAUGCACCAGUGCAACCCUUUAAGUAAGGCCAUAGUCUCAACUUUGUUGUUUCUACAAACACCAAAGUAAGAAUAGUACGUCCUGAUCGGAUUGUCCAUAUGGUCUUUAAGAAUAUCACCUCCGGCUGCUUCUCUAGGAUUGCCUUUGCAACAUCCAUCCGUAUUUAACUUGAUGUGUAGUUUUUGCUUAGCCUUUCUACUCUGUCAUAUAUAUACAUCCACUUGUUGUUAACUCUCAAAGAGAUAAAUUGGCUAUUCAAGAUCAGACUAGUUAAUCAGAUGACUCGAUUAAUGAUUCUCAUAAUAGAUAAAGUAGUAUGUUCAAAUCUCCUGGUGCAUCUACUCUUCCAAAUCUCCCAACAGAUGAUAGAGGGGGUACAUUGAAGUAGUUCAUGUAUGCUAUUUUUUGGCUUAGCAAGCCACCAUUUGAUAAGCAUAUCUCUGGUGGAUUGAGGUUGAUAAGGGAUCUCACACGAAGUAGAAAAGAAAGUCCAAAUCAGCUUCAUAUCCCCUUCACAAAAUAAAAGUUCAAUAGUUUUCCUGAUUAGGAUUCCCACAACAAUCACAUUUAGAUGGUCCCUGGUAAUUAAAUCUUUGAGUCUUGUCAUCUGUAGGCAAGCUCUCAUGUAAUAGUUUCAGCAUAAAAAGGAUACUUUGAAGGGGAUUUUGGAGCGCCAGAUUUUCUUGGGAGUGAGAGAGGAAUUUCUGUUUACUUUGGUAGCCUUCCAUGCUGAUUUGCAUGAGAACUCGCCAUUUUCAUCAGCCAGCCAAAUAGGAUAAUCCUCUCUAUUAGGCUCAAUGGUGAUAUUAAGGAUCUGAUAUACAUUGUGAUCAGGGAGGAUCUUUCUGAGUUCCUGCUCCUUCCACCUGUUAGAAUUAAUGAAGAGAGAAACUGUAAUCUUUUUGGAUCUAUAACCUUGUGGUACUUGUCUAGCUAGAGGUCCAAUCCCUAACUAGUUAUCCCACCAAAAGGAAAUGUUUCCAUAACCUAUCUUCCAAAGAAUAUGUUGCUCAAAAUUAGUUUUAGCCUCCAUUAAUCUUCUCCAGGUAUGAGAAUCAACAUAAGUCCGUCUCUUUGAAAUGCAUGAGAUCUUUUAUAAUACUUAGCUUUCAAGAAGUCCUUGAGCAUAGAAAAGUUAGUUCUGAAAUUCCACCAGUUCUUGGCGGGGAAUGCAUCACAGUAGCUUUGAAUUGGUCUAAAACCUGCAUCUCCCUAGUCAGUAGGAAAGCACAACUUUCUCCAAGAUAUCUAAUGAUGUUUUUUCUUACCUUCUGAUUCACAAUGAAGUUAGGCAUCACCCUCGCUAUUUGCUUAAUGAUUGUUUUUGGUGGCUGAACCACAGAGAUAAUGUGCAGAGGUAAGGAAGCAAGCACUACCUUAACAAGAACAGCCUUUCCUGCAAAUGAGAGAGUUUUCAUCUAUCGCCCUGUGACUCUGUGUGACAAUCUAGCCACCAUAUCAGAAAAAUAUGAAAUCCUUUUCCUACCUAUGUAUAUAGGAACCAAGGUUGGUAAAGGAAAUUGAUGUUGAGUGAAUCCCGUUAUUUGUUUCAUCUCUUGAAUAAAGAUAUCAGUGGCUUUAGGGUGGACAAUGAACCCAGAUUUUCUUUUGUUAAUGAGUUGUCCAUACUCCAUAGACCUUUCAUAUGUCUCUAGAGUGUUCAUCAUCCUAGUGAUAGAAUUUGAAUCUCCUGAAGAGAAAAGAAUGGUUUUAUCUGCAUAGCAUAGAUGUGAUGCUAGGUCCAUUUCCAUCAAUGAUGAAAUGGAUGAAAUUAUCCACUAAUAGCAUGUCCAUUGCUCUAGAAAGGAGCUCAACACCAAUAAUGAAUAAUGAAAGAGAUAAGGGAUCCCCUUGUUUGAGACCUCGAGUGGAUUUAAAGAAACCAUGUCUGGUUCCAUUGAUAUUAAUAGAGUACCAAUUAUUAGCAAUCACUCUCCAAAUCAUAUGAAUCCAGUUCUCAGAAAAUCUCAUUUGUCGUAGAACCUGGCACAAAUAACUCCAUGAGACUCUAUCAUAAGCCUUAGCCAUGUCUAACUUCAUAGCCACAUUGUAAUUAGGAUCAUUGUUGUUCAUGUUGUGAAUCAUUUCCUAAGUCAAGAUGAUAUUCUAUGUAAUUGAUCUCCCAUUCAUAUAACUAGUUUGAUUAUGGGACACUAAAUUAUUGAUAAUCUUGGAAAGUCUACUAUUAAGCAUCGUGGAGAUAAUUUUGCAAGAGAAGUUACUGAGUCUAAUAGGCCUCAUCUCAAAGAAUUCCUGAGGAGAUUUGACCUUAGGGACAAGGAUCAAGUAGGAGUGCAAUAUAGAUCUAGGAAGGCAACUCCCAUUGAAGAAGUCUAAAAUCAUAUUGUGUAGGUCCUCAGCAAUGAUAUCCCAACAAUGAUGGUAGAAGAGCCUUGACAUACCAUUUGGCCCAAGUGCAAUGUCAAAACUCAUGUCAAAGACUAUCUCUUUUAGCUCCUGAAUAGUCGGAUAUACACAUAGAAUGUCAUUAUCCUCACUAGUAACCUUAGAGGGUAGACAUUGAAUUAAGGAGAGAUCUCUAUUCAGAUUCUCCUCAGUAAAUAAAUUUUCAAAAAAUUUGACUGCUUCCUGGCCAAUAUUGUUCUGCUCUUCAAUCCAGAUUCCUAUAUCAUUCUUAAUUCUACUCAGUUUCAGCUUCUGCCUUCUAGAAGAAAUAACUGAAUAAAAGAAUUUAAUAUUGAGAUCACCUUUGGCAUGCCAUUUAAUCCAAGACUUUUUCUCCAGAAGGCUUCUUCUAUCUUGUAAUGUCUGAUAAGUUGAGCAUUGGAUUCAUUGAGCCUGACCAUAUUCUCAACAGAGUUGUCAUGAAUACAAAUGUUUUCUAGCUCUGGUACCUUCUUUCUUUAUCAUUAGUCAGAGCAAAUAUGUCCCCUACAGAAUUUUUAGACCACCAAGAGAGGUUCUUAUAAGUGUUUUUCAACUUAAGGUGGAACUUCCACAUAGGAGAUCCCUCCACUUGAAUUUGCCAAGCUUGUUGAACAAUCUCCUUAAAACCAGGUUCAUUUACCCAAAAAUUUAAGAAUUUAAAAUAUUUGGGGGCUAAUAAUCAUUGCUACCAGCAACAAUUAAAAGAGGAGCAUGAUCUGAUCAUUUUCUGACCAAGAGAGUAACCGUGGUGUUGGGGAAUUUCGAGAGCCAUUCCUGAUUUGCAAGAGCUCUAUCUAGUCUCUGACAUAUCCUUUCUGAUGGAGUUCUGAGAUUGCACCAUGUGUAUGUAGAGCCAAUAUAACCAAGAUCAUUUAAUUCACAGUCCGUCAUGCAUUCGAUUAAAGGGAAACUCUUUUCCAUUCUGUGAGGAUUACCACCAAUCUUUUCAGAUAGUUCAAUAAUACAAUUGAAGUCACCCAUGACCAUCCAUUCCUUCAUGUGGUUUGAAUAAGUCUGCCUCAGCUCUUCCCAUAGUGGUUCCCUGAGAGGAACCUUUCUUUUAGCAUAGAUAUUAGUUAUAGUGAUAUCCUCUUCCUCACUCUCUAGUGAACAUGUGAGUUGUUGCUUACCAUCAUAGAGAACUGAGAGAACAAAAUCCUUGUCUGAGAAUAUCCAAAUCUUAUUAUUGCAAUUAGCAUAAGCAUAGUGAUAUCUUAACCAAUUAUUGUAUUUGUCAAGUUUAGAUCUUUUGCAAAAAGGUUCUUGAAUGGCCACGAAAUUUAUUUUGUAUUACUUCAUAAGCAUUUUCAGUCUCUCAAUGGAACCCUUAAUGCCCCGAUAUUCCAAUAUAGAGAUCUAAUCAUGAAAGGUGAAUUUGGGUUGAUUUUUGGUUAGUAUGGACUUGCUAGUUGUGUUGCCUCUGCCUCUUCUGUCCCUAUUGCUUUCUCUGCCUCGCACAGUAGAUGUAGUACCUCCCAGUGAUAGGUUUGCUCGAUCUGUAAUGUCAAUAAAAGCUUGUGAAAUAUUUGGAACAUAAACCUGGUGUCCAGUGAAAGCUUCUACCAGCUUAUUGCAUGUACCAUCACUGAAAGGUCCUUCUUCUAUGCUCUUAUAUUUACGUUCAUAACUUCUAGAUUUCACCCCCGAGCUAUCUUCAUCAUUUUCUGAAUCUGAUUUACCUAGCUCAUAUUCACUACCAGGGACAUCUUCUUCUUCAUCUGAGGAACUAGACAUUUGGAUAUUGGGUGUUGUGUCUGCAACUGAGAUAAUAGCCUCCUUACUAAUUUGAUUCUUAGACAUCUGGUUGUUGCUUUUUGGUGUGUUUUGCAAUGUAAGUUUCUUUAUUCCAUAAGUGCCUUCUUGUGUCAUAUUGAAUGUUGUUGAGCUAUGUAUUUAUGUAUAGUAGUUAGUUACUACUUAGCUUAGUUGUCACUUAGUUGUAGCUUAAUUAGUUGUUAGUUAUCAGUUAUAGAGGUUAUACAAGUGUAUAUACAUUAGUUUUGUACAAUACAUUGUUACAUAUUAUUCAUUUUAUAUACAAAAAUAUCUUCUCUCAGUAUCUCCCUCUAUGAAGCUUCCAGAAUUUCCACCAUUGGAGCUCUAGCUCGAGCUCGAUUUUUCUGCUGCAUCUGCAGCUCAACAUGGUAUCAGAGUCUAGCAUCUCACUCUCCCGUCUCCUCAUCAUCUUCAAUAAGGUCAAUUGAACCUUUUCCCCAAUUUUUCAUUUUUUGAGUUUUGCCCUAGAAGAUCGUUUAUCUUCAAUUGUUCGAUCUGUCUUUUCUCUCUUCGAUUUUUGAUUCUAUCUUUAUCAAAUUGAGUCCUAUCCCGUGGCUAUCACUGAUUCGAGUACUGAGUCCGAUGGUUCCCCAUCUGUCCUCGAGGUGGAGUCCGGUGUCGAUGCUAGUAGUCCUCUUUACAUGCAUCCUUCAAAUAAUCCACGGCACGAUGUUAGUUCCAGUUACUUUCGGUGGUUUAGGGUACAUAUCCUAGAGAAGGAGUGUUAUGCAAGCCCUAUCUGUCAAAAACAAAUUAGAUUUCAUCAAUGGUGAAUGCAAAUGACCAGAUCCAGAGAAAGAGCCUUCGAAAUUUCGACUAUGGGAACGAUGCGGCGAUAUGGUUACAUCAUGGAUCCUAAAUUCUCUUGCCAAGGAGAUUGCUGACUGUUGAAUAUGCAAAUGAUGCCGUCGAGUUGUGGAAAGAGUUGGAGGAUCGCUACGAUUUGACCAACAGAACCAAACUAUAUCAAAUUCAGAAGGAAAUUAAUGAUCUUUCUCAAGGAGUUUUGGACAUCACAGGUUAUUACACUAAAAUGAAGAAGCUGUGGGAGGAACUGAGUACACUGAGUGCCAAGACACAGUGCACCUGUCAAUGCACAUGUGGUGCUAAGGAAAGUAUGCCUAAAGCUGAACAAGACAGGCGUUUGAUUCAGUUUUUGAUGGGCCUGAAUAAAGUGUACACAACUGUGCGAGGCAACAUUCUUAUGAUGAACCCCUUGCCUUCUAUGGCACAAGCAUUUUCCUACUAGUUCAAGAAGAGAAGCAGAGGGAAGUUAAGCCAAACAAUCAUGUUAUGAUGGAUUCUUCGUCUUUAAAUAUCCGUGUCCCGAGGAGUAAUAUCAGAAAUGGCCAACAAUAUGCAGAUUCUGUCUCGUUCAAUGUUGACACAUCAAGGAACAACAAUUUUAGAACCAACUAUUCUCCCUGCAAUUACCCUCCUAAUAUCACCAGACCACGUCCUUUUUGUGACUACUACCAAAGAAAAGUGUUAUAAGCUGCAUGGAUAACCCCAGGGGUUCAACUCAAAUCCAAAUCCCAAAUUUAACAGAGGAAAGAGAACUGUGGCCAAUGUACACCUGAAACCAACUCUGGCAAACAGGAAGAAGUGGAAUCUCUAGAAGGCAACUGCAACUCCAAUGUCAACUUAACCAAAGAACAAUAUUGGCAACUAGUUUCCCUGCUACAGCAUUUUCAUUCUAGAAAUGGUAAAAAGACCUCCAGUAUUCCUAAUGGAGUUGUGAAUUUUGCAGGUACAAUGGCUUGCUCUGCUUCUGUUCCCUCCAUUGAUUAUAGCUUAUUAUUAUGCAAAUGUUUUACAUCAAGUACUGAUAUAUGGAUCCUAGACUCAGGAGCUUCCAACCACAUGACCUUCAAUAAGUCCCUCUUGUCUAAUACUAUAGUCUUACCAUAUCCCUUGUUAAUUAACCUACCAAAUGGUUAUCGAGUAAAAGUGACUGAAAUUGGGACUGUUACACUUGCACCUCAGAUCAUCUUGCAUAAAGUCUUUUAUGUUCCUUCUUUCAAAUAUAAUUUGAUCUCUAUUCACUGCCUAACUUCCCAACUUAAAAGUUUAGUUGCCUUCUCUGAUUCUUUAUGUCUUCUACAGGCCCCUUCAAUGAAGAGGCCUUUGGAGAUUUGGUAAGGUCGAGGAUGGAUUAUACCUUCUUUGCUCAAGCUGCUUGAAGCACUCUUGUUCUGCUACAUCUACUGCCAACUGCUCAUUUCCAUUUCAUACUUUACCUGCUUCACAUGAUGUAAAUAGGUCACAUUCGCCUUAUCACUCAUUUGUAAAUAUACCCACGUGCAAUAAAACUCAGAGUUCAGUUUUGCAUUCUUCCAUGUCUAAUAACAUUGAUGCAGAUUUAUUGUGGCACAAUAGGCUGGGAUAUGUACCUUUUGUCAAAAUGAGAGGUAUCUCUUCAAUACCAAUCCAGUUCUCACCCAAACAACCAUUCCUCUGUCCCAUGGCAAGGUAGACUAAAUUGCCUUUCCCUCAAAGAACCAGUAUCACCACCAAAGCUUUUGAUCUUCUCCAUGUGGACUUAUGGGGACCUUACCAUGUGGCAACUCACAAUAAUUUUAAAUACUUCCUCACCCUAGUAGAUGACUAUAGCAGGUCCACUUGGACCCAUCUCCUAAGCUGUAAAAGCAAUGCCUUGCAAACUAUAAAAGCCUUUGUGUCUCUCAUUGAAACUCAAUUUCAAAUCAAACUAAAAUAUUUAAGGUCAGAUAAUGGCCUAGAGAGUUUUAUUUAUAUAUAUUAAAUAUAAAAAAAAACUAAAACCCUUGAAAAUAAAUAACAAAAACAAACCCGUCUGUUAUGUUCUAAACUCUAAACCCAGUCUGUUCUGUCUCUAAACAAACUUGUCUAUUCCUAAUUCCAAAGAAAACCUAAUGCCUAAACCAGCAGCCACCGCCCACCGGCCAACAGUCGUCGUCGACUUCCACCAACCACCGGUCUCCCUCUUGCUGUCUCGUCUCUCCCUCUCGCGAGUCGCGGUUUCUUAUCUUCUUAUCCAGUGACUCAUACAUGGCUGAAAAUAUUAAAAGUAAUAAGGUGAUGAUGGGUGAAAGUGGGGUUUCUAUUUAAAUGCAACAAGUCAAUCUCAAACAACAAAGUCAAAUAUAACCAAGAAAAGGAGAAAAAGGUCUGUUGUGUGGGAUCAUUUUACAAAAAUUAUUACUUCUGAAGGGAGUACAAAAGCAAAAUGUGACUAUUGCUCAAGAUAUCAUUGACUGGAUGCACAAGAAGUUAGGUGCUGGCAAUCUUGCAAAUGUGUAUAGUUAGUGCUAUCUUUGCAAAUAUGUAACUGUGUGCCAAGGCAUCAGCCACACAGUUACCUUCUCUAUAACAAUGAACCAACUUUAUCUGUUGUAUACCUCUUCUUAUCUCUAGAAUACCUGACUGAUGUUCCCAUGGAACUGUUACUUUACCAUUAAACAUGUUUAUCACUAAUAGUAAGUCCAUCCCUAACAUGAUUUCUUUCUAAUUAUUCCAGACACUCCAUUGUAUUACUUGUAAAACUGUUUGUAGCUCUGCUGACUUAUUAGUACAGUCCUGAAGAUCUUUA
Long non-coding RNA from Nicotiana tabacum (common tobacco), 9502 nucleotides. RefSeq lists it as uncharacterized. Lineage: Eukaryota; Viridiplantae; Streptophyta; Magnoliopsida; Solanales; Solanaceae. The record is from RefSeq and is a predicted model, not a curated record.